UUUUCUUUUUCUAUUCUUACCAUUGCUGUUAAUUUAUCUUCUAAUUUUAAUUCUUCUUUUUCUAACAUUAGAUAUAAAUGUUCACCUAUUUUCUUAUAUCUUCUUCCUAGAUUAGAAAAUACUAUUUUUAUUUUUAAUCCUUCGUGGUUUUCAUAUAUUUUUUCAUCUAUUAUAAAUUCUUCUUUGUUCAUUUUAUUGUGAAUAGGUCAUGUUGAUAUACAUAUUCUAAACUAUCUAUUUGUGAUUCUAAUUUUGAUAUUUCAUCUUUUUGUGUAUCUAUU
Molecule: long non-coding RNA, 281 nt
Filed under: Capsicum annuum
Lineage: Eukaryota; Viridiplantae; Streptophyta; Magnoliopsida; Solanales; Solanaceae
Description: long non-coding RNA (CANN_LNC002207)
Source: RNAcentral